RNAcentral lists this ribosomal RNA (464 nucleotides) under uncultured bacterium. RNAcentral's name for it is "partial 16S ribosomal RNA". It matches the Rfam family "Bacterial small subunit ribosomal RNA", at positions 339 to 795 of the family's 1533-position model. The record is from RNAcentral.
CUACGGGCGGCUCCAGUGGGGAAUAUUGCACAAUGGGCGCAAGCCUGAUGCAGCCAUGCCGCGUGUAUGAAGAAGGCCUUCGGGUUGUAAAGUACUUUCAGCGGGGAGGAAGGGAGUAAAGUUAAUACCUUUGCUCAUUGACGUUACCCGCAGAAGAAGCACCGGCUAACUCCGUGCCAGCAGCCACGGUAAUACGGAGGGUGCAAGCGUUAAUCGGAAUUACUGGGCGUAAAGCGCACGCAGGCGGUUUGUUAAGUCAGAUGUGAAAUCCCCGGGCUCAACCUGGGAACUGCAUCUGAUACUGGCAAGCUUGAGUCUCGUAGAGGGGGGUAGAAUUCCAGGUGUAGCGGUGAAAUGCGUAGAGAUCUGGGGGAAUACCGGUGGCGAAGGCGGCCCCCUGGACGAAGACUGACGCUCAGGUGCGAAAGCGUGGGGAGCAAACAGGAUUAGAUACCCUAGUAGUC